RNAcentral lists this ribosomal RNA (446 nucleotides) under uncultured bacterium. RNAcentral describes it as "partial 16S ribosomal RNA". It matches the Rfam family "Bacterial small subunit ribosomal RNA", at positions 338 to 795 of the family's 1533-position model. The record is from RNAcentral.
CCUACGGGUGGCAGCAGUCGAGAAUCAUUCACAAUGGGGGAAACCCUGAUGGUGCGACGCCGCGUGGGGGAAUGAAGGUCUUCGGAUUGUAAACCCCUGUCAUGUGGGAGCAAAUUAAAAAGAUAGUACCACAAGAGGAAGAGACGGCUAACUCUGUGCCAGCAGCCGCGGUAAUACAGAGGUCUCAAGCGUUGUUCGGAAUCACUGGGCGUAAAGCGUGCGUAGGCUGUUUCGUAAGUCGUGUGUGAAAGGCGCGGGCUCAACCCGCGGACGGCACAUGAUACUGCGAGACUAGAGUAGUGGAGGGGGAACCGGAAUUAUCGGUGUAGCAGUGAAAUGCGUAGAUAUCGAGAGGAACACUCGUGGCGAAGGCGGGUUCCUGGACAUUAACUGACGCUGAGGCACGAAGGCCAGGGGAGCGAAAGGGAUUAGAUACCCCAGUAGUC